GCUUUAGCUUACUUUAAAUCCAGGGAUGAGGAACUAAAUAUUAUUAUUCUCAAGGUAUGGUUGUUUUGGAGUUUUUGUCAAGAAAUUAGCUAUUGUUUGUAUAGAAAUGCAAUCACUCACACAUAAUUUGAUCUGCAUAGUACAUUUAGACAUAUAUGGUUUCAUGUUAGACACUCAUAUAAAGAGUGACUUAGGAUGCACUGAUAGUCAUUAUUGCCUGAUAUAUAACUAUAUUUUCUUAUGAUAGAAAGUGGAUAUGAGAUAUAAAUUAGUUCAUACAUUAAAAUUAAAGUUCACUGGCUGAUCGAUUAGGGUCUCAUAGCGUUGCCAAUCUAUGUUCCUGGUGUUCUUAUUAAUUGUUAAUUUUGGUUUUACAGUGGACCUAAAAAAUCAAAUGACUCUGCUGGUUAUUUUCCAUACAACUGUGGGAGUUCUCUUUGGAUUUCUCAUUGGUGUAUCAUUACAGAAUGCUUUUCUAAUAAAGGUAUUAAUUAGGGUUUUCCACCGGAAUGGGUUGUGUUGAAUUGGGAUGCCUGUAUCUAUAGAAUGUGUUUGGAAUUUUUGCAGAUUAGCUUUUCACUUCUAUCUUUUGAUGCACGGUUUCCCGAUAUGUGUAACCAACUAACACAAACAAAAGUCUUGAGCAUCAAAGAUCAGGGGGAUGUUCCUACGAGAUAAAUUUAUCUUACUGCUGAGGUAGUAUUCAUGUAUGCGCAUGCGAUUCUGGCCCAAGCAUCCUCUGGCUUCUGCAGGAAGGCCUGGAAUGAAGGUCUUUAAGAAAUCAAGAUUCUUAAAGAAGUGUUCAAGGUUCUGAGAAAUGUUCAAAUGUAGGACUCUGACAUAUUUUCAGGAUUCUCGAUACGACUGAUAGUUUAUAAGAGCCUUUGCCAUUUAUCAAUUUCCCAGGUUUCAAUGAGAAUUUCAAAUAGGAUUGGGACUUGCAAAAGCCUCAGGGCUUUUCUGAUCGCUGCUGACCUUCAGUCAGGUAGUUUAAAGUCAAUCGAAGAGAUGAGUUUUGCAGCAGAAUCUCAGCCAAAACAGGGAAUGCCCUGAGGAAUGUAAGGAAGCUAUUGCACCACUAAUGCAUGCUGCAGCUAGAUUUUCUGGUUUACCAGAGUACAUUGUCUAACAUUAGGCAACUAUUUCAAGCAAGAGAUGCGAACUGUCUGACUCAUUGUGUAGAUCAAAAGUUUUUCAUGUGCUCUACUGCAUCACAACGUUGGCUUUGGGAAGGCACAAGCAGAAAGGUUUAGGUACUCAACGAAUACUUCUGGAGCCAGUCAUCAGUUUUCGUUUGGAUUGUACGUAAAGCACAACUUUGAAGUUGAGCUUUAUCGUAUUGUUAAUAGGAAUUUCCACUUGCAAUUGUUGAAUUUUACAAAGAAUUAGUGUAAUAAACAGCAAUUAUCAUUUAUUUAUUAUGCAAUCACUAUUGUUUCAUCAAUAA
This is a long non-coding RNA of Rosa chinensis, 1447 nucleotides long. RefSeq lists it as uncharacterized. The record is from RefSeq and is a predicted model, not a curated record. NCBI's taxonomy places the organism in Eukaryota, Viridiplantae, Streptophyta, Magnoliopsida, Rosales, Rosaceae. The transcript is spliced from 8 exons.